AAAAGACUUAGUCCUAACCUUACUGUUAAUUCUUGCCUAACACAUACAUGCAAGUAUCCGCACCCCGGUGCAAAUGCCCUCACCCUCCCACCGAGGAAGCAGGAGCGGGUAUCAGGCACGCCACAAUCAACCGCAGCCUAAGACACCCAGCCACAGCCACACCCCCACGGGUAUUCAGCAGUAGUCAACAUUAAGCAAUAGGCGCAAGCCUGACUUAGUUAAGGCAACCCAGGGCCGGUAAAUCUUGUGCCAGCCACCGCGGUCACACAAGAGGCCCAAAUUAACCAACCUUUAAGCGGCGUAAAGUGUGGGUCCUAGACUAUCACAACCAACUAAGACCAAACCACCUACCUAAGCUGUCAUAAGCCUAUGGUAUCCCAAAGCCCAACCUAAAGAUGAUCUUAGCACCCCUGACCAAUUCCACCCCACGAAAGCUAGGGUACAAACUGGGAUUAGAUACCCCACUAUGCCUAGCCCUAAAUCCUGAUGUUUUCUAUACAUAAACAUCCGCCCGAGAACUACGAGCACAAACGCUUAAAACUCUAAGGACUUGGCGGUGCCCUAAACCCACCUAGAGGAGCCUGUUCUAUAAUCGAUAAUCCACGAUACACCCAACCACUCCUUGCCAAAACAGCCUACAUACCGCCGUCGCCAGCCCACCUCUAUGAGAGCACAACAGUGAGCCCAAAAGCCCACCAACCCGCUAGCAAGACAGGUCUAGGUAUAGCCCAUGGAGUGGAAGAAAUGGGCUACAUUUUCUAUAAUAGAAUACACCUAACGAAAAGAGGUCUGAAAUCUACCUCUAAGAAGGCGGAUUUAGCAGUAAAGAGGGACAAUCAAACCCUCUUUAAGCCGGCCCUAGGGCACGUACACACCGCCCGUCACCCUCCUCACAGGCCCCAAACCCCACUAACUAAUACAACCAACCGCCAAAGACGAGGCAAGUCGUAACAAGGUAAGUGUACCGGAAGGUGCACUUAGCAUCAU
This 987-nucleotide non-coding RNA is filed under the name Psephotellus pulcherrimus (paradise parrot). RNAcentral's name for it is "12S ribosomal RNA". It matches the Rfam family "Bacterial small subunit ribosomal RNA". Lineage: Eukaryota; Metazoa; Chordata; Aves; Psittaciformes; Psittaculidae. The record is from RNAcentral.